UACGUAGGGUGCAAGCGUUGUCCGGAAUUAUUGGGCGUAAAGAGCUCGUAGGCGGUCUGUCGCGUCGGAUGUGAAAGCCCGGGGCUUAACCCCGGGUCUGCAUUCGAUACGGGCAGACUAGAGUGUGGUAGGGGAGAUCGGAAUUCCUGGUGUAGCGGUGAAAUGCGCAGAUAUCAGGAGGAACACCGGUGGCGAAGGCGGGUCUCUGGGCAGUAACUGACGCUGAGGCACGAAAGCGUGGGGAGCAAACAGG
This 253-nucleotide ribosomal RNA is filed under the name uncultured bacterium. RNAcentral describes it as "partial 16S ribosomal RNA". It matches the Rfam family "Bacterial small subunit ribosomal RNA", at positions 524 to 776 of the family's 1533-position model. The record is from RNAcentral.